Molecule: long non-coding RNA, 225 nt
Organism: Neopelma chrysocephalum (saffron-crested tyrant-manakin)
Lineage: Eukaryota; Metazoa; Chordata; Aves; Passeriformes; Pipridae
Exons: 5
Source: RefSeq, a predicted model, not a curated record
AAGAAGAAGAAACACAGGUCUGAAUCCGAGGCCAAGAAGCGAAAGCACCGCUCCCCCAGCCCCAAGGCCAAGCACAAGGCCAAGGAGAAGAAGCGCAAGAGGUCCACCAGCCAAUCGCAGAAGCCGGAACGUUCUUCCUCCCCCGCCGGCUCCUCCUCCUCCUCCAACUCCUCCCGCAGCAGGUCCCGCAGCGCCACGGCCCCGCCCCCGGCCCCGGCCCCGCCC